GACGAACGCUGGCGGCGUGCCUAAUACAUGCAAGUAGAACGCUGAAGAGAGGAGCUUACUCUUCUUGGAUGAGUUGCGAACGGGUGAGUAACGCGUAGGUAACCUGCCUUGUAGCGGGGGAUAACUAUUGGAAACGAUAGCUAAUACCGCAUAACAAUGGAUGACACAUGUCAUUUAUUUGAAAGGGGCAAUUGCUCCACUACAAGAUGGACCUGCGUUGUAUUAGCUAGUAGGUGAGGUAAUGGCUCACCUAGGCGACGAUACAUAGCCGACCUGAGAGGGUGAUCGGCCACACUGGGACUGAGACACGGCCCAGACUCCUACGGGAGGCAGCAGUAGGGAAUCUUCGGCAAUGGGGGCAACCCUGACCGAGCAACGCCGCGUGAGUGAAGAAGGGUGUCGGAUCGUAAAGCUCUGUUGUAAGUCAAGAACGGGGGUGAGAGUGGAAAGUUCACACUGUGACGGUAGCUUACCAGAAAGGGACGGCUAACUACGUG
This 497-nucleotide ribosomal RNA is filed under the name uncultured bacterium. RNAcentral's name for it is "partial 16S ribosomal RNA". It matches the Rfam family "Bacterial small subunit ribosomal RNA", at positions 28 to 507 of the family's 1533-position model. The record is from RNAcentral.